GACGAACGCUGGCGGCGUGCUUAACACAUGCAAGUCGAACGGAAAGGCCCCUUUGGGGGUCCUCGAGUGGCGAACGGGUGAGUAACACGUGAGUAACCUGCCCUUGACUUCGGGAUAACUUCAGGAAACUGGGGCUAAUACCGGAUAGGAAUCCUUGCUGCAUGGUGGGGGUUGGAAAGCUUCGGCGGUUUUGGAUGGACUCGCGGCUUAUCAGCUUGUUGGUGGGGUAGUGGCUUACCAAGGCUUUGACGGGUAGCCGGCCUGAGAGGGCGACCGGCCACAUUGGGACUGGGAUACGGCCCAGACUCCUACGGGAGGCAGCAGUGGGGAAUAUUGCACAAUGGGCGGAAGCCUGAUGCAGCAACGCCGCGUGCGGGAUGACGGCCUUCGGGUUGUAAACCGCUUUCAGCAGGGGCGAAGCUUGUGGUGACGGUACCUGCAGAAGAAGCACCGGCUAACUACGUG
This 465-nucleotide ribosomal RNA is filed under the name uncultured bacterium. Its description in RNAcentral is "partial 16S ribosomal RNA". It matches the Rfam family "Bacterial small subunit ribosomal RNA", at positions 28 to 507 of the family's 1533-position model. The record is from RNAcentral.